AAUGCUAGAACUCAUGCCUAUUUCAUUCAAAGCAUGCUAUUGAUUUGCAUAACACAUAUUCAAGAUGAAGUUGCGUAGUGACCACCAAAGCCAAAUUGCCGUGCCCCUAUUUCAUUAUGUGUUUAAGUUUAACACCGUUGAGCCUUGUUAAGCCUAUGUUCUUUGUUAACCCACACUAUCCUUACCUAGCCUAGUUUUAGGAUCAUCCAUACUGUUGUUCUUGAAGCAUAGUAAAGCAUGACCUAAAAUGAACUCCAUUUUUAUCAAUGUAUUGCAGAAAGCAAGUGUGGGGGAAGUGAUUCUUGUGUGUGUGUGUGUGUACCAAAGUCCUUAAUAAGGCACGGGUAGAGAAAAGAAAAAAAAAAGGAAAAAAAAAGGAAAAAAAAAAGUAUGAAAAAGAGCUCUAAAGUGUUGUUUGUUAAAAAAAGGGUCCAAAACAUUGAAUUCAGCCUUAAGUGUUGCAUGAAUCUUCCCUUUGUAUGUAAAAGUUGAUUCUGCAUUCUAAAGUGAAUUCCAAGUGUCUAUUUAAUUGCUUUGCUUGCUAUUGCUUUAAGAACGUUUGUUAUUUUUGUCCUUUCUUUGUUAGCCAUUACCCCCAAGCCUUGUUACAACCUUUGACUUCAAUCUUGAGUGUUGUGCGUUUCAAUUUGUGGAGUUCGAAAUUGGUAUGAGCAUAUGGUGUCACUGGUUCUCGCAUCUAAGUAGUAGCAUACCAUUCAUGAGAUCAUAUCUAAACAUGCUUAAUAACUCUAGAAAAUUGCUUCCUUUGUUAUAACAUAUGUAAGUCCCAGUCUCUAGUGUAGGGUGUAUAGUCAGAAAAUGUGUGUGAAAAUAAAGAGUAUCUUGUAAGGAAUUGAGCAAAUUCUCUAAGGCAUGUUACUACAUUCAAAACAUUGUUUUAAUUUGUUAAUUAUGAACUAGUAAGUAGUGACUGUGAUUAAGUUUGUGCUCAAGUGUGAAGAUAAUCAAAAUCUGUGGGAAUGAUGAUUUUUAACAUGUCAUGUGCAUUGGAAAUCCCUAAGGCAAAUGUUAGAAGGUUAGGUUGUGUUUUACUUGUUUUGUUUCGUUUUGUUUCGUUUUGUUUUGCUCGAGGACUAGCAAAAGGGAAUUUGAUAGGAGCAUAUUUAUGCAACUUAGUUAGCUUGUUUCUUGGCAUUUACUUA
Molecule: long non-coding RNA, 1163 nt
Filed under: Malus domestica (apple)
Lineage: Eukaryota; Viridiplantae; Streptophyta; Magnoliopsida; Rosales; Rosaceae
Description: long non-coding RNA (MDOM_LNC013895)
Source: RNAcentral